GACGAACGCUGGCGGCGUGCUUAACACAUGCAAGUCGAGCGGUAAGGCCCUUUCGGGGUACGACGAGCGGCGAACGGGUGAGUAACACGUGGGUGACCUGCCCUCCAGCUCUGGGAGUAAGCCUCGGGAAACCGGGUACUAAUACCGGAUAUGACUCCAUGACGCAUGUUGUGGGGUGGAAAGCCUUGUGCGGCUGAGGAUGGGCCCGCGGCCUAUCAGCUUGUUGGCGGGGUGAUGGCCUACCAAGGCGACGACGGGUAGCCGGCCUGAGAGGGCGACCGGCCACACUGGGACUGAGACACGGCCCAGACUCCUACGGGAGGCAGCAGUGGGGAAUCUUGCGCAAUGGGCGAAAGCCUGACGCAGCGACGCCGCGUGA
RNAcentral lists this ribosomal RNA (379 nucleotides) under uncultured bacterium. RNAcentral's name for it is "bacterial SSU rRNA". It matches the Rfam family "Bacterial small subunit ribosomal RNA", at positions 28 to 404 of the family's 1533-position model. The record is from RNAcentral.